GACGAAGGGGGCUAGCGUUGUUCGGAAUUACUGGGCGUAAAGCGAGUGUAGGUGGUUGUCCAAGUUGGAUGUGAAAGCCUUGAGCUCAACUCAAGAAAUGCAUUCAGGACUGGGCGGCUAGAGGACCGGAGAGGAUAGUGGAAUUCCCAGUGUAGUGGUGAAAUACGUAGAGAUUGGGAAGAACACCAGUGGCGAAGGCGGCUAUCUGGACGGUUUCUGACGCUGAGGCACGAAGGCCAGGGGAGCAAACGGG
RNAcentral lists this ribosomal RNA (253 nucleotides) under uncultured bacterium. RNAcentral's name for it is "partial 16S ribosomal RNA". It matches the Rfam family "Bacterial small subunit ribosomal RNA", at positions 524 to 776 of the family's 1533-position model. The record is from RNAcentral.